RNAcentral lists this long non-coding RNA (3290 nucleotides) under Homo sapiens (human). RNAcentral describes it as "HSALNT0106596". Lineage: Eukaryota; Metazoa; Chordata; Mammalia; Primates; Hominidae. The record is from RNAcentral.
UAUAUCGUAGACUCUGAGUUAAUCACCAUUAUGACUCAAGAAUUCCUAAAGGACCUGGCUGGCUCUGAAUUGCAGCAGGAAAAGGCAUACCGUGAACAGGUUGGAAGCUAAACCCUCUGGAAUUCAGAGGAUGUGUUCCAGGGCCUUUGAGUUCCUAACCUCUGCCCAGAGCCAAGACACAGAGGCGUGAAGGCACUGCAACAGUGAGGCUCCAGGAGGUUCUCAAACUCAGCCCCGGAAGGAGCUGGUUAAUCAAAUCUCAGAACAAUCUUACCAACAAACAACAAAGAUAUCAUUAUGCCUACACUGCAAAGAGGAAAGCAAGGUCCAGGACAUUUGUGCUCACCUUCUAGCGGGGCAGGGGCGGCUCUCAGGUUCUCAGGUUCCCAAGCUGUCCUUUCCCCCCAACACCAAUAGUUCCCAGUCUGCCCAUGCAGCAUCUGGGAAAUGUAUGAAAAAUAAAAUGAAGGCUGAAGAGGAAGGUGCUCCAAGAUACACCCCAAACUGAUGGUGCCAGUCUCUGGGGGAUAGUCAACGGCAGGGGAAACCAAAGACUGGGUGCUUUUGUUUCAUACUUAUUGCUUGAUACUUGACUUCAUACUUAUUUCAUCCUUAUUGCUUGAGUAUGCACUGCUUUUGUGAUUCUAAAACUAAGAAAAUAAAUGAGCAAAUGUUCCGUAUUGGCAGGAGAUGGGGUGGAUACACUGGGGGGGAGUAGAAUCCAGCACAAGGAAAUGAGCUAAGCUAAGUGUUUAAAACUCUACUCUAGAGUUUUCUCACACACUUGGGAACCCAUCUCGAGGAAAUAAUCAGACAUGCAGACAAAGAUUCCCUUAUGCGCAGCCGGUACAAACCACGCUUUCAAAAAAUAUUAAAUGUCAUGGGAAAAUACUCACGAUGCUCAGAGGAAAAUGACACCAAACUGAGUGUGCGGCACUAAUCCGAAUAUAAAUGUAUGCACAAUAAAAAAGCCUGGAAGGAAAGUCGCAAAAAUGUUCAAUGCGAGUAUCUAAGGGAGGGAACCAUGAUGGUUGACAUUUUCUUAAUUUUCUAGAGGAACAUACAUACUGAAGAUAUUUUGAAAGAAAAAUAAAGAUGCUUGAGUCCCACAUCAGAUGGACUAAGCCAGAAUCUCCGAAGGCUAUGAAUCCUAGAGAUCUGUACAGCACUUUUGAAGUGUUUGGAACUCUUCUGUGUCUACACCAUGCCAGUGCUUUAUAACUAACUGCUAAGAAUCCAAGGCCGAAAGAGGUCUUGCUCCCGCCUGUGCAAGACUCCGUCAACUUGAUUCGCUUGGCCCCUGCAGGUGGUUCUAAGGGAGGGAGUGGCAGGGCAGAGGGCAGCCUGUGGGCAAAGCAGGGCACUUCACAGGCAAAUGCUCCCUGGCAUGUGACUUCCUCUGACUUGGAAACAAAGAGAUCUCCAUGGCUCUAUGAAAAUCGCUUUGCAAAUGAAACGGAAAACAGGGCCUUGGAGAUAGUCAACCCCAAAGCACACCCCUAGAGUCACUCACCUGGAAAUACAGUUAUAGCCAAACACACAGCACCACCAGGUGUAAUUCGAUCAGAGUGUCGCAUCUGUGAGUUGACAAAGUAACAAAAACAUUUCACACAUCGCUCUGCCAUGGGGCUGCCAUUUUUAAAUUUACAGUCCAGGAGGCCCUUGUGCUUCCCAAGAAAGAUAUUUGGGCGCAAUACAACCGAGUUACUCAUGAGGCCCUCUUUAAUCACCGCAGUUAGGGCCCAAGGGGGGCCUUGACAGGCGGAGACAGAACAGGCAAAUCUGAAUGGCCCCGGGGCAAGCUGACCCUGGAGGUCUCCUCCAACCCCUACUCGGAAUCUCUUCCCACUCCCUCACCUCCAACUGCCCAGAUCCCUACCAUAGGUUCCCCCAAGGCUGGGUCCCACUGAAGGUCUGUUUAGCAGAAACUCUCUCUUAAUCAGUCCUUUCACCCACAGUGCUAGCCCCUCAGUGGAAAGGGCUUGAGUACAUAAGCAGAAAAAAUCAGAUUAAUUCAUACUAAGGUGUGAUUGACUGAUGAACUGACCCCUGAGAGCCACAGGAAAUUGGCUAGCCAUGGAGAACAUCUUGGCCCCAACCCACACUGGGCUUUGAGACUCCCACGUCCUCCUGAGAGGCUGGAAGACAGCAAGGUUCCUCUGGACAACUUCAGCCCUCGAGAAGGGAGGCUUCUUCCCGGGUCUCCUUGGUGAGCAUCCGCAGGCCCAAAGCGCUGAGGAGAAACUCUUGGGGCAAUUACAUCAGCACAGGACGCCUUUGUUUUGAGCUAAGGCUGGUUUUCCCACAAGCGACUGAAAUAAAUUAGAGCGUUUUCAACGAGGGCGGUUGAAAGCGGUACUCUUGGAAAAAUCUCAGCAGCUGCUCUUUAUUGGAUUAUAACUAGGAGCAAAACACCCCAAACCACACAAUCGCCUGCAAAGAAGGGGGGGAAAUCAAAUCAAAUACAACAUUGUUGUAGGCUCUGGAAAAUGUUUCCCCAGGAAACCCAGCCUGGGAACCUAGUCAAUGUUCUCUUGCUCGGCUGCGAGGGGAGACAGACACUGCUUCUCGGGGGUCAGAUACAGUUUGUCUACUUACAGGCAGCCAGAGACACCGACAGACAGCCACACACAGGCAGGCUGGAGACAGGGGACAGACAUCCCAGUGCAGGCUGCUGCCAGAGGGAUGCACUGAAGCCCAAGGAGAAUGUCCCGUCUGCUGGGGUGGCUCAGCCCAGAAUGAGACACACCAGGCUCUCUGCUGAGAGGUCUUUAAAAAUAGAUAAAACCACCCUGCUUGUGGGGUGAGUGCAGCCCAUCAUGCCCUGGAGCCCAGAGGUGGGAUAUGUUCCUUAGGAAAUCCAUAGAGGCAUUGAUCCAUUAUUGGUAUCUAAUUCGGCAGACGGCCUGAGAUGGAAAGAAGGAGCUAGAAGACCAGAAACCUGGCUGGGUCUAACACUGCUAAUACUUAGCUCUGUGAGCUCAGACAAGCCAUUUCUCUUUAGCUGAGCCUUCAUUCCCUCAUCCAUAAAAUGGCUAUAAUCUGAGAACACACAGACACAUGGAGGGGAAUGGCACACAAUGGAGCCAAUCAGAGGGUGGAGGCUGGGAGGAGGGAGAGGAUCAGGAAAAAUAACUAAUGGAUACCAGGCUUAAUACCUGGGUGAUGAAAUAAUCUGUACCACAGAUCCCCAUGACACAAGUUUACCUGUGUAAGAAACCUUCAGAUGUACCCCCCUGAACUUAAAAUAAACAUUAGAAAAAAGAAAAGAAGAAAUGGGUAUCAUCACA